UCACUGUUCUGAUUAUGCUGUUUUACAGUCCUCCAUUGAAGUGCUCAGGCUUGGACAAGAGGCCCAAGCCAGAGCUGACCUAGAGAUGAAUCCUCUAUAUUUUAUAACUGAUAACCAUUGUGCUAGUAGGUAUUGUACUAAGUUAUAACAAACCACU
Molecule: long non-coding RNA, 157 nt
Organism: Athene cunicularia (burrowing owl)
Lineage: Eukaryota; Metazoa; Chordata; Aves; Strigiformes; Strigidae
Exons: 3
Source: RefSeq, a predicted model, not a curated record